Molecule: ribosomal RNA, 459 nt
Filed under: uncultured Acidovorax sp.
Lineage: Bacteria; Pseudomonadati; Pseudomonadota; Betaproteobacteria; Burkholderiales; Comamonadaceae
Description: bacterial SSU rRNA
Rfam family: Bacterial small subunit ribosomal RNA
Source: RNAcentral
GCACAAGCGGUGGAUGAUGUGGUUUAAUUCGAUGCAACGCGAAAACCUUAACCCACCUUUGACAUGUACGGAAUCCUUUAGAGAUAGAGGAGUGCUCGAAAGAGAACCGUAACACAGGUGCUGCAUGGCUGUCGUCAGCUCGUGUCGUGAGAUGUUGGGUUAAGUCCCGCAACGAGCGCAACCCUUGUCAUUAGUUGCUACAUUCAGUUGGGCACUCUAAUGAGACUGCCGGUGACAAACCGGAGGAAGGUGGGGAUGACGUCAAGUCCUCAUGGCCCUUAUAGGUGGGGCUACACACGUCAUACAAUGGAUGGUACAAAGGGUCGCCAACCCGCGAGGGGGAGCCAAUCCCAUAAAGCCAUUCGUAGUCCGGGUCGCAGUCUGCAACUCGACUGCGUGAAGUCGGAAUCGCUAGUAAUCGUGGAUCAGAAUGUCACGGUGAAUACGUUCCCGGGUCUU